AGUGAAGUGGGAGCCAAUUCAGAUGCCAACCAUACUGGAAGGUCCACUUGCAUGUCCCUGCUUACAGGUGGAUGCUGCAGCUCCAUCAAGUAGUGCCCAGUUAUCAAGGAUGAGAUAUUUUAUCACAGUGUGGAGAAAAAUACACUGAUCUCUAUCUACCGGCUCAGCAGAACAGAAUGAAAUCUCCAGAGAAAACAAGCAAGCAGAAGAAACAGCACAGUAUGGAGAUGCUCUGAAACCAGGACACCCACAUCCACACCCUUCUGCAAACUAUGUCAUGGGUUAUUACAGAAUUACUUCUGUUUCUGUAAAACAGAAAGAAAAAUGUUUCCUUCUCACUGCAUAUUUUAGCACUUCUCAUUUAUUUUCCUCCUACUCUCCAUUUAGUUUGACUCAGUUAAGUAUACCUUUCUCUUACAUCAAGCACCUAAAGUAGCUUAACAGUCUCUGCCUUUUCAACCCAAUCAUCCACGGCACCAAAUAGCUAGUAACUAAGAAGGUUCCUGCAGCAUACCCAAAAUUGGGUAAUACUAUCUUAGAAAACUCUGUGACACAGAUAUCACAAAAUACAAGUAAUAUUGGAUGUACAGGGGUAUGUGAUAUGCCCUGGAUGUUGAACCUAUGAAAAAGUACAGCUGAAAAGCAGGCUACACGUUGAAGAACAUCUUCUUUGCUGCAGGAAGAAAAUAAAGUGCAGCCCUUAUGGAGUAAGCCCAGACAGCCACAAGCAAAGACUUCUGGCUGAAUGCUUGCCUGAACUACUAAGGUGGCCACAAGAAGAUCUUCUGCACAGAAAUGAGAAAUGCUGGAAGUAUUGCUUGUAGCAAAAGCUCACCUAAUGUGUUCUCUAAACCACGCUUGAUUCGAGCUUGCUGCUUCUGCUUUAGGAGCAUUAGAAUAAUUCUGAAACUAUGCAAAAAAAAGUCAAACGAACAAGUUAAACCAAACAACAACAAAAUCAACAACAAAAAUCAAAGCAAACAGAAAAAGACACGCAAGGGGGAAGUAGAGCAGUGAUAAGAAAUAGAUGAUUUGAUGAUUAAUAGAUUAGUGCAAACUAUGAUACCAUGGUUAGUGAAAUAACACACUGUGGCAAGAGGAAAGGCAAUAACAAGAGAGGGAAACAGUUGUAUCUCACUCAGCACUGCCAGGGACUAUAAAAGAGUGGAAGAGUGUUCUCCUGAUCUUGGUAAUCCCUCUACAGAGGGAAGGUCACAGGACAGCUUUUGAGAGUAACUGACCUGGGAGCUUCCUGCUCAUCAGCGGCCACUCUUUCCGCACUACGUUACUCCAGAAAACAGAACCAAUGCCUCAUAGUCAACUUCAACCACCAAGAAAAGGUAGUAGGAAAGCAGUUAACUUUGACUAGAAAAAAAGGUGUAGGAUUUUCAGAACCUUUUUGGCUCAGAAGAGAAGAGGUUAAAGCAGUAGUUUCACUGAUGAAAAAGAAACCUGACAAAUAGCCAUUAAUCUUUGGAUCAUAUUAUAAUCUGAAUUUAAAACUGUUUUUUGUGGAUUUUGAAGCACAUGGGAUUUAUCACUGUGUGAGACUAUCAGCAGCAUGGACCACAGGAACUAGAAAACAAGACUUAGAAUGCAUGGCUUAAUGUAUUCAAUUAAUUCAUUUUGCAGAAGGGAAGGUUUAAAGGUGACAUAAUUGCUGAAUAUAGCAAGUUACACAUCAGAAAGCAUUUACUAGGAAGCAGAGGUAAGCACGCAGGCUUUUCUAUCUUUCUGACAAAGAUGUAAUGUCAGCCAAUAGCUGGAAGUUUACAAGAAAAAUCUGUCUUACUUAAGUAAUUUCUGGACAGCUGGAACUGCAACAGCUUCACUGGGGAAGUCACCAUCUUUUGAAGACUUUAUAACCAGGCUGUAUCUUUCAAAAACACACUUACUAUGGAGUUUUGGAGGGUAAUGUACUACAGGGUUUGCAAAGGGCAUAUUCAAUCUGGAUAUUUCCUCUCCUGAGGCCACGAUGCCUCUUUAGCACAUUCAUACAGCAAAGUGAGGUAGGGCUGAUUCCAGAGCAGCCCACUAUGGCUGCUUUAGUAUGAGUGUCAGAGAGAAGUCCAGGCACUGGGUAAGCAGCCAGAGUCCAGUGCCCCCAGCUACCCUCACACAUUUGAAAGAACAGACCGACAACUUCAUGCCACAAACACCUAGGAGUAUAUCAUGAUCAGUUAAGAAUAACUAGCCCACCACAGGGAUCACGUAUCUUCCUCUGAAGCACUUGGCAGUAGCUAGAGAUAGUAUACUAAAAGAGACAGACCUUAGGGCAGACACGGUCUGGCAGUUCCCAUAUCCUUGGCACAGGCUCAUCAGUAGACACAGUGUCCUUGGAGGUCUCCUGUGCUUGCACUGACCAGAGCUGACCCUACUUAAUUUAUGAGCUCUUCUGAGAUCACAGUCUCAUCCACUGUGGCUCCAGGCUGUAUUGAAAUGAACUUUAUUAAAAUAAAUUCCAGCUGCUUGGAAGGAGUUAGAGAAACGACAGAAAGAAGGCAAAACCCUUCCAUUCCCUAACUCACUAAGAACAGAAGAGAAAAGUAGUUACAGGAGACUGAGUAAAAGCAGAGAGGGAAUUCAUCUGGCUUAACUAAAAGAGCAGGAGAAAAAAAAAAUGGUCAAAGGGUUUUUGUUUGUAUACUUUUUGCUUAUAAAACGGGAUGGGAAUGAAUACUAAGGCAGAACUCACAGCCAGGCAGGGCAAACAGGUUCAAAGUACAGAGUGACUAAGGGUCAGGAGGGCCCUUGAUAAAGCUUCUGACUGAGGGUGGGAUGCAUAUCAAUAAAUCAGAUUCAUUUGC
This is a long non-coding RNA of Gallus gallus (chicken), 2807 nucleotides long. The record is from Ensembl. Lineage: Eukaryota; Metazoa; Chordata; Aves; Galliformes; Phasianidae.